This 1254-nucleotide long non-coding RNA is filed under the name Taeniopygia guttata (zebra finch). RNAcentral describes it as "lncRNA (ENSTGUG00000024221.1)". The record is from RNAcentral. Lineage: Eukaryota; Metazoa; Chordata; Aves; Passeriformes; Estrildidae.
ACCCCCGAAAAUUUGGGAACCCCCAUGAUGUCAACAAAGCCCGAAAAUUUGGGGACCCCCAAAAAUUUGGGGACCCCUAUGACGUCACCAAAGCCCGAAAAUUUGGGGACCCCCGAAAAUUUGGGGACCCCCGAAAAUUUGGGGACCCCCAGGAAUUUGGGGACCCCCAUGACGUCACCGGACCCCCCAAAUAAUUUGGGGACCCCCCCGGAAAAUUGGGGCGACCCCGAACCCCCCCAAGACCCCAAAAUUCCCUAAAAAAAAUUUGGGGUGGGGGAGGGGGGGGGAAAGGGGUCGGCCCCUCCCCCACCCGCCGAUUUUGGGGAUUUUUGGGGGGAUUUUGGGCAAUAAAAGGUGGUGGAGAAGCAGAACCCCGAGUCGGGUUUGGGUUUUUUGUUUUUGGGGGGAAAAAUUCCCCAAAAAAUUCCCCAAAAAAUUCCCCAAAAAAUUUUGGGAAAUUUCGGUUUUGGGGGUUCGUCUCUCCCCUCCCCUGAAAAAAAAAAAAACAAACCAAAAUUGCCUCAAAUUGACCCAAAUUUAAUCCAGAAAUUCAAAAUUUCACCCCAAAUCACUCCCAAAAAACCCAAAAAAUAAAAACUCAUCGAAAAAAAGCACCAGGAAGCCAAAGAAUGGCAAAAUCACCCUAAAAACCCCAAAAUAUAAAAAAAUAAAACCAGAAAUCUUCUCAAAACAUGAAAUCAUCCCAAAAAAUCCCAAAUUCCCCCUAAAAACCCAAAAAUACAAAAAAAAAAAAAAAAAUCCACAAAUCCUCUUAAAACAUGAAACCAUCCCAAAAAAAUCCCAAAUUCCCACUAAAAACCCAAAAUCCCCCCCCAAAAAAUCUCAAACCCCCCUAAAAGCAAAAAAAAAAAACCAAAAAAACCCAAAUCCCCUCAAAAACCCAAAAUCCCCUCCAGAAAACCCCAAAAUUUCCUAAAAUACCCCCAAAACUCAAAAGCACCUCAAAAAACACCAAAAACACCCAAAAACGCCCUAAAAAAGUCAAAAAUAGCCCCAAAAAACCCAAAGCUCCCUAAAAAUUCCAAAAUCUCAAAAAAAAACCCCAAAGCUGCACCAAAAAUACCCAAAACCUUCUAAAAAUCCCAAAUUCCCCAAAAAACCAUAAAUCACCUCAAAAAAAACCCCGAAAAAAUCCCAAAAUCCCUUUUAAAAACCCCAAAACCCCCAAAAUUUUCCCCAAAACCCAAAAAAUCCUCCCAAAAACCCCCAAAAUUUCCCAAAAUCCCCUUUAAA